GACAGAGGGGGCAAGCGUUGCUCGGAAUCACUGGGCGUAAAGGGCGCGUAGGCGGGAUGGCAAGUCGGUCGUGAAAUCCUUCGGCUCAACCGAAGAACGUCGGCCGAUACUGCCGUUCUUGAGGGAUGCAGAGGAGAUUGGAAUUCCCGGUGUAGCGGUGAAAUGUGUAGAGAUCGGGAGGAACACCGGUGGCGAAGGCGGGUCUCUGGGCAACUACUGACGCUGAGGAGCGAAAGCGUGGGGAGCGAACAGG
This 253-nucleotide ribosomal RNA is filed under the name uncultured bacterium. RNAcentral describes it as "partial 16S ribosomal RNA". It matches the Rfam family "Bacterial small subunit ribosomal RNA", at positions 524 to 776 of the family's 1533-position model. The record is from RNAcentral.